AGAUUCUGGGAGUUCUGAUGAAUCUGCAGUCAGUGUGUCCCCAACAAAGUGUCAGAGCCUUUAACCUAGACCUUCCAAUGGAAACAAAACAAGACCAGUAUAGUCAUAAAAAGAACAUUUUCCACGAACUGUGUGUGGAUUCAUCCCCUAAACCAGAUGAUGAAGACUUGACUUACUACCAAGGUUACAGUAUCCUAUUAACCCAAAAUGAAAUCUCAAAUGUCUUCGAUUCUGCAUAAAACCCAUGCUGGCCCCUCAGUGGAAAAUAUCAACCAUGAAUUCUGGGUCUCUUCACUUCACCUUCACACCACCGAUUUCCGUCACACUGCCUGUGCUUAUUACCAUGUAUGUCUAGUAUUAGACUGGACUCCUACGGAAGAGGAACUCACAUUCAUUUCUGGGUCCCGAGAGCAAAACUCCCAAGUGUAAUUAAGGAAAGAACUCCAAUUGUUUCAAGUUCGGAAUUCCUGGUCCUUUCAAAAAUGGCAAUGUGUAUUCAAGCUCUGCUUGUUUUCUUGAUUCUGUUCUCUCCCUUACAAAUAGGCCAGGAAGGCAAAAAUGUCUAGAGAUUACUCCCCCAUGAUAAUAUCUGCAAAUAAAACUUUUAGACCUAACUUUAUACAAAUAAA
This is a long non-coding RNA of Saimiri boliviensis boliviensis (Bolivian squirrel monkey), 629 nucleotides long. RefSeq lists it as uncharacterized. Lineage: Eukaryota; Metazoa; Chordata; Mammalia; Primates; Cebidae. The record is from RefSeq and is a predicted model, not a curated record.